GUGCCAGCAGCCGCGGUAAUACAGAGGGUGCAAGCGUUAAUCGGAAUUACUGGGCGUAAAGCGAGCGUAGGUGGCUUGAUAAGUCAGAUGUGAAAUCCCCGGGCUUAACCUGGGAACUGCAUCUGAUACUGUCAGGCUAGAGUAGGUGAGAGGGAGGUAGAAUUUCAGGUGUAGCGGUGAAAUGCGUAGAGAUCUGAAGGAAUACCGAUGGCGAAGGCAGCCUCCUGGCAUCAUACUGACACUGAGGUUCGAAAGCGUGGGUAGCAAACAGGAUUAGAUACCCCCGUAGUCC
RNAcentral lists this ribosomal RNA (292 nucleotides) under uncultured prokaryote. Its description in RNAcentral is "partial 16S ribosomal RNA". It matches the Rfam family "Bacterial small subunit ribosomal RNA", at positions 505 to 796 of the family's 1533-position model. The record is from RNAcentral.